This 484-nucleotide ribosomal RNA is filed under the name uncultured bacterium. Its description in RNAcentral is "partial 16S ribosomal RNA". It matches the Rfam family "Bacterial small subunit ribosomal RNA", at positions 30 to 507 of the family's 1533-position model. The record is from RNAcentral.
AUUGAACGCUGGCGGCAGGCCUAACACAUGCAAGUCGAGCGGAUGAAGGGAGCUUGCUCCUGGAUUCAGCGGCGGACGGGUGAGUAAUGCCUAGGAAUCUGCCUGGUAGUGGGGGAUAACGUCCGGAAACGGGCGCUAAUACCGCAUACGUCCUGAGGGAGAAAGUGGGGGAUCUUCGGACCUCACGCUAUCAGAUGAGCCUAGGCCGGAUUAGCUAGUUGGUGGGGUAAAGGCCUACCAAGGCGACGAUCCGUAACUGGUCUGAGAGGAUGAUCAGUCACACUGGAACUGAGACACGGUCCAGACUACUACGGGAGGCAGCAGUGGGGAAUAUUGGACAAUGGGCGAAAGCCUGAUCCAGCCAUGCCGCGUGUGUGAAGAAGGUCUUCGGAUUGUAAAGCACUUUAAGUUGGGAGGAAGGGCAGUAAGUUAAUACCUUGCUGUUUUGACGUUACCAACAGAAUAAGCACCGGCUAACUUCGUG